RNAcentral lists this ribosomal RNA (522 nucleotides) under Chiasmocleis bassleri (Bassler's humming frog). RNAcentral's name for it is "LSU rRNA". It matches the Rfam family "Bacterial large subunit ribosomal RNA", at positions 1830 to 2567 of the family's 2925-position model. Lineage: Eukaryota; Metazoa; Chordata; Amphibia; Anura; Microhylidae. The record is from RNAcentral.
GCCUUCUGAUAAAGUAUAGAAGGUCCAGCCUGCCCAGUGACAAAGUUAAACGGCCGCGGUACCCUAACCGUGCGAAGGUAGCGCAAUCACUUGUUCUUUAAAUAAGGACUAGUAUGAAUGGCAUCACGAGGGUUAUACUGUCUCCCCCCUUUAAUCAGUGAAACUGAUCUCCCCGUGAAGAAGCGGGGAUUAUUUUAUAAGACGAGAAGACCCUAUGGAGCUUUAAACUUAAACCACAUACCUUAAAUAAUUUCAUAACAAACAGGUAAGCUUGUGUUUCAGUUUUCGGUUGGGGUGACCACGGAGCAAAGCAAAACCUCCAUGAUGAAAAGAUUUUUUUUCUUAAUCCAAGAACAACAUUUCAAAGAAUCAGAAUACUGACAUAAUUGAUCCAAACACUUUGAUCAACGAACCAAGUUACCCUAGGGAUAACAGCGCAAUCCAUUUCAAGAGCUCAUAUCGACAAAUGGGUUUACGACCUCGAUGUUGGAUCAGGGUAUCCCAGUGGUGCAGCCGCUACUA